GAUGAACGCUGGCGGCGUGCCUAAUACAUGCAAGUCGAGCGAACGGACGAGAAGCUUGCUUCUCUGAUGUUAGCGGCGGACGGGUGAGUAACACGUGGAUAACCUACCUAUAAGACUGGGAUAACUUCGGGAAACCGGAGCUAAUACCGGAUAAUAUUUUGAACCGCAUGGUUCAAAAGUGAAAGACGGUCUUGCUGUCACUUAUAGAUGGAUCCGCGCUGCAUUAGCUAGUUGGUAAGGUAACGGCUUACCAAGGCAACGAUGCAUAGCCGACCUGAGAGGGUGAUCGGCCACACUGGAACUGAGACACGGUCCAGACUCCUACGGGAGGCAGCAGUAGGGAAUCUUCCGCAAUGGGCGAAAGCCUGACGGAGCAACGCCGCGUGAGUGAUGAAGGUCUUCGGAUCGUAAAACUCUGUUAUUAGGGAAGAACAUAUGUGUAAGUAACUGUGCACAUCUUGACGGUACCUAAUCAGAAAGCCACGGCUAACUACGUGCCAGCAGCCGCGGUAAUACGUAGGUGGCAAGCGUUAUCCGGAGUUAUUGGGCGUAAAGCGCGCGUAGGCGGUUUUUUAAGUCUGAUGUGAAAGCCCACGGCUCAACCGUGGAGGGUCAUUGGAAACUGGAAAACUUGAGUGCAGAAGAGGAAAGUGGAAUUCCAUGUGUAGCGGUGAAAUGCGCAGAGAUAUGGAGGAACACCAGUGGCGAAGGCGACUUUCUGGUCUGUAACUGACGCUGAUGUGCGAAAGCGUGGGGAUCAAACAGGAUUAGAUACCCUGGUAGUCCACGCCGUAAACGAUGAGUGCUAAGUGUUAGGGGGUUUCCGCCCCUUAGUGCUGCAGCUAACGCAUUAAGCACUCCGCCUGGGGAGUACGACCGCAAGGUUGAAACUCAAAGGAAUUGACGGGGACCCGCACAAGCGGUGGAGCAUGUGGUUUAAUUCGAAGCAACGCGAAGAACCUUACCAAAUCUUGACAUCCUUUGACAACUCUAGAGAUAGAGCCUUCCCCUUCGGGGGGGGCAAAGUGACAGGUGGUGCAUGGUUGUCGUCAGCUCGUGUCGUGAGAUGUUGGGUUAAGUCCCGCAACGAGCGCAACCCUUAAGCUUAGUUGCCAUCAUUAAGUUGGGCACUCUAAGUUGACUGCCGGUGACAAACCGGAGGAAGGUGGGGAUGACGUCAAAUCAUCAUGCCCCUUAUGAUUUGGGCUACACACGUGCUACAAUGGACAAUACAAAGGGCAGCGAAACCGCGAGGUCAAGCAAAUCCCAUAAAGUUGUUCUCAGUUCGGAUUGUAGUCUGCAACUCGACUACAUGAAGCUGGAAUCGCUAGUAAUCGUAGAUCAGCAUGCUACGGUGAAUACGUUCCCGGGUCU
RNAcentral lists this ribosomal RNA (1374 nucleotides) under uncultured bacterium. RNAcentral's name for it is "bacterial SSU rRNA". It matches the Rfam family "Bacterial small subunit ribosomal RNA", at positions 28 to 1381 of the family's 1533-position model. The record is from RNAcentral.